UCCGUUCUCUCUCCCUGCUCCCUGUGGGGUGCUGGCACCUUUGGUGCUCCUAUGGGCAUCUCCCUGAUGCCUGCUUUCGUCUUCAGAUGGCGCUGUCCCUGUGUGCAGGUGUGGGUUCCCAGUUCCCCUCUUCAUAAGGACACAGUCAUAUUGGAUUAAGGCUCACCCCAAGGAUUCCAUCUGAAUUACAUCUGCAACUGAUCCUAUUUCCAAAGAAGGUCACUUUCUGAGGUGGUCCCUGCAUCUGGAGAGCCCCUCGUGUGGGCUGGGGGGUUGCGUUGCUAACGGGCUCCUGAGCCUAGAGAAGCAGAGGCCGAGGAGCGCAUCGCAGGCAGGCGUGGCAGGUCUUGGAUCUGAGUGGUGCAGACAUCUUGCUCCGAGGGGCCACAGUUCUGCAACAGUUAGGUAUUAGCUGGGCAAGGAGUCUGAAGCCCUCUGGCCCCAGCAGGUUAACUCUCCGCAGGAAGAGGCUAAGUCCUCCUUCCUUUCCCCUAACCUCGCUCCUGCCCCUCCAGUGCCAGGCCCAUGGUAAGUGCCUGCAAGUAUCUGUGGACUGAAUGAAUGAAAGCAUGCUGGUCUCA
Long non-coding RNA from Manis javanica (Malayan pangolin), 581 nucleotides. RefSeq lists it as uncharacterized. The record is from RefSeq and is a predicted model, not a curated record. Lineage: Eukaryota; Metazoa; Chordata; Mammalia; Pholidota; Manidae.